UGAGACGAGUAGCGAGACGUAGCUUUCUGGAUUAUUUACUUUUUGUUUGGUUGUGUGGUUAUGGUAUCAACUCGCUGAGGAAAACAACUGAAGGAAGAAAUCAACAAAUAUAUAUUCGUGAAAAAUAGUGUACUAUAGCUGCAAUAAGGGCUUAAAAGAAGGAGAAAAAAGACCCACUGAUAUUGCAGAAAUCGUUGAAAAAAGGGAUAAAGUUUAUGAUGAAGCCCUAGUAUACCUUCGGAAAAAACAAAGAACGGUCCUUGAAUAUCACAACAAGAAAAAGGAAACUGAUCCACUUCUUCAAACUGAUGAAGCAGUAUACGUCUCUCGCCAAGGAAUAAAAAGUGAAACAGCAAAAAACGGCACCUGGUUACCAAAGACAACAGCAAAACUUUGUGGAUGUCCAAGGAAGGAAAAUUUACAAAACAAAGAUCAGACGCCAACGAAAAUAGCUCCUUCUAAUUGUGUAGCCGUUUAGCAUAAAUUAAACACAAAAAUAUGCACAACAAUUAAUUUAAACUUAAAUCUAGAAUUAAAUAAGUAAAAAUUAUAACUGUUCUACAUACAACGGUACACAAAAUUGAGUAUCUCUUAUCACUACACUACCACAAAUAAUAGUCAUAACAUAGAUAACACAAAAGAAAAGGAAACACUUAGAAAGACAUGCAGGAACAGACUAAUAUAUACCAAUAAAAUUGCCGGCCGAGCUAGUAGCCAACCGAUCUUGGACGAAUAUAGAAGUGUUGAAACUUUGUACCACAGUCGUAAAAUAAAUUAAAAGCAAUAUUUUUUAUACGAGAAAAGAAGUUUUUUCGGUAAUUUACGGAAUCUGGAUUUUGUGAUUCCGUACGUGAAAUUAAAUGCAAAAGUUCUACGUAUCAGAUUUGGAGUUAGAAAGAAAACGGAGUGUUGUGAACGCGAUAAUUGGAACGUGUAAUUACUGGAUUGUGGAUUCCUGCUUUCUCCCAGCCAACGAACAAAGGAGAUGGUCUACAAAUUGCACAGAAA
Long non-coding RNA from Toxorhynchites rutilus septentrionalis, 1008 nucleotides. RefSeq lists it as uncharacterized. Lineage: Eukaryota; Metazoa; Arthropoda; Insecta; Diptera; Culicidae. The transcript is spliced from 3 exons. The record is from RefSeq and is a predicted model, not a curated record.